This 465-nucleotide ribosomal RNA is filed under the name Vreelandella stevensii. RNAcentral describes it as "partial 16S ribosomal RNA". It matches the Rfam family "Bacterial small subunit ribosomal RNA", at positions 338 to 795 of the family's 1533-position model. Lineage: Bacteria; Pseudomonadati; Pseudomonadota; Gammaproteobacteria; Oceanospirillales; Halomonadaceae. The record is from RNAcentral.
CCUACGGGUGGCAGCAGUGGGGAAUAUUGGACAAUGGGCGAAAGCCUGAUCCAGCCAUGCCGCGUGUGUGAAGAAGGCCUUCGGGUUGUAAAGCACUUUCAGUGGGGAAGAAAGCCUUGGGGCUAAUACCCUCGAGGAAGGACAUCACCCACAGAAGAAGCACCGGCUAACUCCGUGCCAGCAGCCGCGGUAAUACGGAGGGUGCGAGCGUUAAUCGGAAUUACUGGGCGUAAAGCGCGCGUAGGCGGUCUGAUAAGCCGGUUGUGAAAGCCCCGGGCUCAACCUGGGAACGGCAUCCGGAACUGUCAGGCUAGAGUGCAGGAGAGGAAGGUAGAAUUCCCGGUGUAGCGGUGAAAUGCGUAGAGAUCGGGAGGAAUACCAGUGGCGAAGGCGGCCUUCUGGACUGACACUGCCGCUGAGGUGCGAAAGCGUGGGUAGCAAACAGGAUUAGAUACCCUAGUAGUC